UGCGUAGGUUGUUUGAUAAGUUAUCUGUAAAAUCCCCGGGCUUAACCUGGGCAGGUCAGAUAAGACUGUUGGACUUGAGUACAGGAGAGGGCAGUGGAAUUUUCGGUGUAGCGGUGAAAUGCGUAGAGAUCGGAAGGAACACCAGUGGCGAAGGCGGCUGCCUGGCCUGAUACUGACACUGAGGCACGAAAGCGUGGGGAGCAAACA
RNAcentral lists this ribosomal RNA (207 nucleotides) under uncultured bacterium. Its description in RNAcentral is "partial 16S ribosomal RNA". It matches the Rfam family "Bacterial small subunit ribosomal RNA", at positions 568 to 774 of the family's 1533-position model. The record is from RNAcentral.